This 467-nucleotide ribosomal RNA is filed under the name uncultured bacterium. Its description in RNAcentral is "partial 16S ribosomal RNA". It matches the Rfam family "Bacterial small subunit ribosomal RNA", at positions 29 to 507 of the family's 1533-position model. The record is from RNAcentral.
ACGAACGCUGGCGGCGUGCUUAACACAUGCAAGUCGAACGGAAAGGCCCUGCUUUUGUGGGGUGCUCGAGUGGCGAACGGGUGAGUAACACGUGAGUAACCUGCCCUUGACUUUGGGAUAACUUCAGGAAACUGGGGCUAAUACCGGAUAGGAGCUCCUGCUGCAUGGUGGGGGUUGGAAAGUUUCGGCGGUUGGGGAAGGACUCGCGGCUUAUCAGCUUGUUGGUGGGGUAGUGGCUUACCAAGGCUUUGACGGGUAGCCGGCCUGAGAGGGUGACCGGCCACAUUGGGACUGAGAUACGGCCCAGACUCCUACGGGAGGCAGCAGUGGGGAAUAUUGCACAAUGGGCGGAAGCCUGAUGCAGCAACGCCGCGUGCGGGAUGACGGCCUUCGGGUUGUAAACCGCUUUCGCCUGUGACGAAGCGUGAGUGACGGUAAUGGGUAAAGAAGCACCGGCUAACUACGUG